GAUGAACGCUGGCGGCGUGCCUAAUACAUGCAAGUCGAGCGAACAGACGAGGAGCUUGCUCCUCUUACGUUAGCGGCGGACGGGUGAGUAACACGUGGAUAACCUACCUAUAAGACUGGGAUAACUUCGGGAAACCGGAGCUAAUACCGGAUAAUAUAUUGAACCGCAUGGUUCAAUAGUGAAAGACGGUUUUGCUGUCACUUAUAGAUGUAUCCGCGCCGCAUUAGCUAGUUGGUAAGGUAACGGCUUACCAAGGCGACGAUGCGUAGCCGACCUGAGAGGGUGAUCGGCCACACUGGAACUGAGACACGGUCCAGACUCCUACGGGAGGCAGCAGUAGGGAAUCUUCCGCAAUGGGCGAAAGCCUGACGGAGCAACGCCGCGUGAGUGAUGAAGGUCUUCGGAUCGUAAAACUCUGUUAUUAGGGAAGAACAAAUGUGUAAGUAACUAUGCACGUCUUGACGGUACCUAAUCAGAAAGCCACGGCUAACUACGUG
RNAcentral lists this ribosomal RNA (497 nucleotides) under uncultured bacterium. Its description in RNAcentral is "partial 16S ribosomal RNA". It matches the Rfam family "Bacterial small subunit ribosomal RNA", at positions 28 to 507 of the family's 1533-position model. The record is from RNAcentral.